GAUGAACGCUGGCGGCGUGCCUAAUACAUGCAAGUCGAGCGAACGGACGAGAAGCUUGCUUCUCUGAUGUUAGCGGCGGACGGGUGAGUAACACGUGGAUAACCUACCUAUAAGACUGGGAUAACUUCGGGAAACCGGAGCUAAUACCGGAUAAUAUUUUGAACCGCAUGGUUCAAAAGUGAAAGACGGUCUUGCUGUCACUUAUAGAUGGAUCCGCGCUGCAUUAGCUAGUUGGUAAGGUAACGGCUUACCAAGGCAACGAUGCAUAGCCGACCUGAGAGGGUGAUCGGCCACACUGGAACUGAGACACGGUCCAGACUCCUACGGGAGGCAGCAGUAGGGAAUCUUCCGCAAUGGGCGAAAGCCUGACGGAGCAACGCCGCGUGAGUGAUGAAGGUCUUCGGAUCGUAAAACUCUGUUAUUAGGGAAGAACAUAUGUGUAAGUAACUGUGCACAUCUUGACGGUUCCUAAUCAGAAAGCCGCGGCUAACUACGUG
This 497-nucleotide ribosomal RNA is filed under the name uncultured bacterium. Its description in RNAcentral is "partial 16S ribosomal RNA". It matches the Rfam family "Bacterial small subunit ribosomal RNA", at positions 28 to 507 of the family's 1533-position model. The record is from RNAcentral.